GACGAACGCUGGCGGCGUGCCUAAUACAUGCAAGUUGAGCGCUGAAGGUUGGUACUUGUACCGACUGGAUGAGCAGCGAACGGGUGAGUAACGCGUGGGGAAUCUGCCUUUGAGCGGGGGACAACAUUUGGAAAGGAAUGCUAAUACCGCAUAAAAACUUUAAACACAAGUUUUAAGUUUGAAAGAUGCAAUUGCAUCACUCAAAGAUGAUCCCGCGUUGUAUUAGCUAGUUGGUGAGGUAAAGGCUCACCAAGGCGAUGAUACAUAGCCGACCUGAGAGGGUGAUCGGCCACAUUGGGACUGAGACACGGCCCAAACUCCUACGGGAGGCAGCAGUAGGGAAUCUUCGGCAAUGGACGAAAGUCUGACCGAGCAACGCCGCGUGAGUGAAGAAGGUUUUCGGAUCGUAAAACUCUGUUGGUAGAGAAGAACGUUGGUGAGAGUGGAAAGCUCAUCAAGUGACGGUAACUACCCAGAAAGGGACGGCUAACUACGUG
RNAcentral lists this ribosomal RNA (497 nucleotides) under uncultured bacterium. RNAcentral's name for it is "partial 16S ribosomal RNA". It matches the Rfam family "Bacterial small subunit ribosomal RNA", at positions 28 to 507 of the family's 1533-position model. The record is from RNAcentral.